GGGCGAUAAGCCUAUCAACUUGACAGGAAGUCCUUUCUAUAUUUCCACCUGGAACUCAUUCAUUGCAGUAGGUUGCGACAUCCGUGCUUUAUUGAUGGAUGAUCCGCUCCUACGCAUUGGGUGCGACUCAAGAUGCCAUGGCCAAAAGGACAUUGAUUUGCGAGAAAUGCUUCCUAAACUUCAAACAAUUGAUUCCAAUGGAUAUAUUUUGACAGGAAGCGAUUGUAAUGGUACCGAUUGCUGCAAGACUAGCGUGCCUUCAGCCAAUCAGAUGGUUUUCCAUCCAAUUUUCAAUCAAAGCACAGAUGGUUGCAAG
RNAcentral lists this unclassified non-coding RNA (316 nucleotides) under Hevea brasiliensis (rubber tree). Lineage: Eukaryota; Viridiplantae; Streptophyta; Magnoliopsida; Malpighiales; Euphorbiaceae. The record is from RNAcentral.